Molecule: RNase P RNA, 663 nt
Filed under: Plasmodium falciparum NF54
Lineage: Eukaryota; Apicomplexa; Aconoidasida; Haemosporida; Plasmodiidae
Description: Plasmodium RNase_P
Rfam family: Plasmodium RNase_P
Source: Rfam by way of RNAcentral
UAUGCAAUGAGUUUAAGCUCAAAACAUCCUGCAAAUAUACAUACACAAAAUGAAAGAAAGAAAUAAAAAAGAAAAAAGAAAAAAUGGAAAAAUAGGUCACAUAUUUGUAUGUUUCUUGUUUUUCCAUUUUUUUUUUUUUUUUUUUUUUUUCUUUUUUUUUUCCUUUUUUUUUUUUUUUUUUUUUUUCCUUUUUCUUUCUCCUAAUUUGUGUAAUUUUUAUAAAAACAGGAAGGAAGGUCUGAGAUGCUGCAUUUAAAGAAUAGAAAAGAAAAGUCAAUGAAUUUUAAUUUUUUUUUUUUUUUUUUUUAUAAUUCUUAUGAAUUAAAAAGAAAGAAAAAAAAAGUUAUAACAUUCGUUGUUACUUUUUAUUUCACAUAUAUAUAUAUAUAUAUAUUCUUUAAUAAAAUUUUUGAGAGAAAAUGUAUUGAACAAAUAUUAAUUAGUUACCAGAAAUAUCAAUCAUAUAUUUAAAAUUUCGUAAGAAGUUUUGUGUAUGGUUUUGAAAAAGCUAAUAAGCAAGUAUACAUUGGUGAGUUCGAUUUUUGAGGUUUUUCUUUAUUCCUACAUCUCAUAUAUCAAUAUUUUUUUUAUAAUUAUAUAUUAUACGAGGUGAUAAUAAGAAAAAUAACUUAAUUCAGACUACUCCUAAAUUCAUUGCUGCAA